CUCAGAUUGAACGCUGGCGGCAGGCCUAACACAUGCAAGUCGAGCGGAAACGACACUAACAAUCCUUCGGGUGCGUUAAUGGGCGUCGAGCGGCGGACGGGUGAGUAAUGCCUAGGAAAUUGCCUUGAUGUGGGGGAUAACCAUUGGAAACGAUGGCUAAUACCGCAUAAUGCCUACGGGCCAAAGAGGGGGAUCUUCGGACCUCUCGCGUCAAGAUAUGCCUAGGUGGGAUUAGCUAGUUGGUGAGGUAAUGGCUCACCAAGGCGACGAUCCCUAGCUGGUCUGAGAGGAUGAUCAGCCACACUGGAACUGAGACACGGUCCAGACUCCUACGGGAGGCAGCAGUGGGGAAUAUUGCACAAUGGGCGAAAGCCUGAUGCAGCCAUGCCGCGUGUAUGAAGAAGGCCUUCGGGUUGUAAAGCACUUUCAGUCAGGAGGAAAGGUUAGUAGUUAAUACCUGCUAGCUGUGACGUUAC
Molecule: ribosomal RNA, 476 nt
Filed under: uncultured bacterium
Lineage: Bacteria
Description: bacterial SSU rRNA
Rfam family: Bacterial small subunit ribosomal RNA
Source: RNAcentral